RNAcentral lists this unclassified non-coding RNA (294 nucleotides) under Hevea brasiliensis (rubber tree). Lineage: Eukaryota; Viridiplantae; Streptophyta; Magnoliopsida; Malpighiales; Euphorbiaceae. The record is from RNAcentral.
GGACGACCAUAAUUGUGUGUAAUUUGAAGGAUGUAUACGUCGUUUGACAAACCACAGUCCAUCUGAAUUAGAAGGUUAUUUUAAUAGUUUACAUUUGUCAAGCUCGAGUUUUCAGAAGCUAUCAUUCCAUUUAAAGGUGUUGACAAUCGGAGAUGACAAGAAUUUCAAGAGGAAGACCCUUCGACAAAGGCUUAGAAUAGGAUGGUACCCCUACGUGAGAUUGAAUAUUUGUAAUUUUUUUCCCUUCUUUCUUUUCAUUUGACUUUAUAAUUCUAUUUCAUUUGUUCAUAAAUU